Molecule: transfer RNA, 74 nt
Filed under: Planctomycetota bacterium
Lineage: Bacteria; Pseudomonadati; Planctomycetota
Description: Planctomycetes bacterium (marine metagenome) tRNA-His
Rfam family: tRNA
About the family: Transfer RNA (tRNA) molecules are approximately 80 nucleotides in length. Their secondary structure includes four short double-helical elements and three loops (D, anti-codon, and T loops). Further hydrogen bonds mediate the characteristic L-shaped molecular structure. tRNAs have two regions of fundamental functional importance: the anti-codon, which is responsible for specific mRNA codon recognition, and the 3' end, to which the tRNAs corresponding amino acid is attached (by aminoacyl-tRNA synthetases). tRNAs cope with the degeneracy of the genetic code in two manners: having more than one tRNA (with a specific anti-codon) for a particular amino acid; and 'wobble' base-pairing, i.e. permitting non-standard base-pairing at the 3rd anti-codon position.
Source: RNAcentral
GUGUUCGUAGUGUAGCGGCUUCGCACGCGACUUUGUGAAAGUCGAGGUGGUGGGUUCAACUCCCCCCGGACACC